RNAcentral lists this ribosomal RNA (494 nucleotides) under uncultured bacterium. RNAcentral describes it as "partial 16S ribosomal RNA". It matches the Rfam family "Bacterial small subunit ribosomal RNA", at positions 28 to 507 of the family's 1533-position model. The record is from RNAcentral.
GACGAACGCUGGCGGCGUGCUUAACACAUGCAAGUCGAACGGUGAAGCGCCUUCCUUUUUGGUGGGUGUGGAUGAGUGGCGAACGGGUGAGUAACACGUGAGUAACCUGCCCCCUUCUUCUGGAUAACCGCAUGAAAGUGUGGCUAAUACGGGAUAUUCUGGGUCUGUCGCAUGAUGGGUCUGGGAAAGAUAUUGUUUCGGUGGGGGAUGGGCUCGCGGCCUAUCAGCUUGUUGGUGGGGUGAUGGCCUACCAAGGCGGUGACGGGUAGCCGGCAUGAGAGGGUGGACGGUCACACUGGGACUGAGACACGGCCCAGACUCCUACGGGAGGCAGCAGUGGGGAAUAUUGCACAAUGGGCGCAAGCCUGAUGCAGCGACGCCGCGUGAGGGAUGGAGGCCUUCGGGUUGUGAACCUCUUUCGCCAGUGAAGCAGGCCUGCCUCGUUUGUGGGUGGGUUGACGGUAGCUGGAUAAGAAGCGCCGGCUAACUACGUG